This 250-nucleotide ribosomal RNA is filed under the name uncultured bacterium. RNAcentral describes it as "partial 16S ribosomal RNA". It matches the Rfam family "Bacterial small subunit ribosomal RNA", at positions 793 to 1050 of the family's 1533-position model. The record is from RNAcentral.
GUCCACGCCGUAAACGAUGGAUACUAGCUGUUCGGGGCAACCUGAGUGGCUAAGCGAAAGUGAUAAGUAUCCCACCUGGGGAGUACGUUCGCAAGAAUGAAACUCAAAGGAAUUGACGGGGGCCCGCACAAGCGGUGGAGCAUGUGGUUUAAUUCGAUGAUACGCGAGGAACCUUACCAGGGCUUAAAUGUAGUCUGACAGGACCGGAAACGGUUUUUCCUUCGGGCAGAUUACAAGGUGCUGCAUGGUU